This 593-nucleotide ribosomal RNA is filed under the name uncultured bacterium. RNAcentral's name for it is "bacterial SSU rRNA". It matches the Rfam family "Bacterial small subunit ribosomal RNA", at positions 338 to 944 of the family's 1533-position model. The record is from RNAcentral.
CCUACGGGAGGCAGCAGUGGGGAAUUUUCCGCAAUGGGCGAAAGCCUGACGGAGCAACGCCGCGUGAGGGAUGAAGGCCUCUGGGCUGUAAACCUCUUUUAUCAAGGAAGAAGAUCUGACGGUACUUGAUGAAUAAGCCACGGCUAAUUCCGUGCCAGCAGCCGCGGUAAUACGGGAGUGGCAAGCGUUAUCCGGAAUUAUUGGGCGUAAAGCGUCCGCAGGCGGUCUUGUAAGUCUGUCGUUAAAGCGUGGAGCUUAACUCCAUUUCGGCGGUGGAAACUACAAGACUAGAGUGUGGUAGGGGCAGAGGGAAUUCCCGGUGUAGCGGUGAAAUGCGUAGAUAUCGGGAAGAACACCAGUGGCGAAGGCGCUCUGCUGGGCCAUAACUGACGCUCAUGGACGAAAGCUAGGGGAGCGAAAGGGAUUAGAUACCCCUGUAGUCCUAGCCGUAAACGAUGAACACUAGGUGUCGGGGGAAUCGACCCCCUCGGUGUCGUAGCUAACGCGUUAAGUGUUCCGCCUGGGGAGUACGCACGCAAGUGUGAAACUCAAAGGAAUUGACGGNNGAGAGNGCGAGCGACACGAGGGAGUAG